RNAcentral lists this unclassified non-coding RNA (233 nucleotides) under uncultured fungus. RNAcentral's name for it is "sequence contains ITS1, 5.8S rRNA gene". The stretch from base 185 to 233 matches the Rfam family "5.8S ribosomal RNA", at positions 1 to 49 of the family's 154-position model. Lineage: Eukaryota; Fungi. The record is from RNAcentral.
UCUCCGUAGGUGAACCUGUGGAGGGAUCAUUACCGAGUGAGGGUCCUCGCGGCCCGAACCUCCAACCCCAUGUUGUCCGACUCUGUUGCCUCGGGGGCGACCCGGCCCUCCUGGGCGUCGGGGCCCCCGGUGGUCCAUCUCAACCCUGCAUCUGUGCGUCUGAGCAAAUAUUUGAAUCAAUCAAAACUUUCAACAACGGAUCUCUUGGUUCUGGCAUCGAUGAAGAACGCAGC